Hermetia illucens (black soldier fly) is the source of this 1261-nucleotide long non-coding RNA. RefSeq lists it as uncharacterized. The record is from RefSeq and is a predicted model, not a curated record. Lineage: Eukaryota; Metazoa; Arthropoda; Insecta; Diptera; Stratiomyidae. The transcript is spliced from 3 exons.
GUGAAGUUUCGACAGAAUAACUUGACAAUGUUUUUCAGUUUUCUGUUCAAACCGCAAUUAGUUACGAUGACGCAGAUAUAUCUGGUAGAGGAUUUAGUGAUUUAGUUUUAGUGUGGUGCCAAAUUCGAAUUUCCAGGAAUGUCAGUUGGUCUGUAUAUAUCAACGCAAAUAUUGAGCUGGAAUAUAAAUAUGUGAAGCAAUUCUGGCCUUUGGUAGAGAAUAAAAUCUCCACGAGGCACUGUCAAAUACAAAAUUCCAGAGAAUAGCCAGAUAACCUCCUGUCAGUAAAAGCAUGCAUUAUUGACAUGCAAACACACCUACUCGUAUCUGAGCCUUUUUGAAUUUGAAAUGACGUCCACAAAUAUGGCAACCGACUCGAAAUAAAUGUGGAUAUUGCCGAAAGGAAGAGGAUUAAAACAAUCAAUCAUUCAUUAUUUAGGAUAUGUUCAGCUCGCCAGUGAGAAUCAUACACUUCACACUCAUGCUUCCACCUCUAAGGAUUCGUGCUUGUUUCCACGGCCUUGAUUUCAUCUUCACAUGCACAAAAAUACAUCCGAUAUUCAAUGUAAAUUUCAUUAGAUACAUUAAUUUGACUAUUCUUCGGUUCCUUAUCAAGUAUCUUUAUGUUGAUUAAUACAAAAUAGUAUGGAGUUUUUACUGCUAAUAAGUAAAAAAAUUAACUUAUAUCCUUUACAAUUGUCACUAUUGUUUAACUAGUUACAUACGUUACAUUCUUGUUAAUUAUUAUUACAUACUCGUGGUUGUUUUGAGUGGCUUUGCUACAUGAGGGAGACCUUCUGUCCAUGAAUUUUUAAUGACAUGGAUUUGGUGUAAUGUUGCUUAGUCGAAACGGUCGAUAUAAUCUAUUCAUAGAGAAGUAAUGGUUGUGGUGUAUUUUCGAAAUUACAAAUUAUAUCGUUGUAUUUCUGCCUGGAGAAACUUUUUCUCGUAUGGAACAUUUAAGAAUUUUCGACCGCCCUUGCUUCCAUUCGAUAUAUCUAAACUUUGUAUUGAAUCCAUAGAAACGGAUUGCUUACCAAUCAUUCAAUAUUUAGUGAUAUACCACAUGCUUUUAUGUAGUAUGCCACUUUCAAGCGCUUAGGUCGUUCAUAACUUCUUGGAAAUGCUUCCUUUGCUUUCCAAUUUCUAAUGUUUUAUGUACAAAAACGAUGAAAUAUUAGCUAAUUAAAUUGAAAUUAUUAUAAUGAUAGUUUAUUUUGUAUGACUCAACAAAAUCAAUUUUAAUCAAAGAAUGAACAAA